RNAcentral lists this ribosomal RNA (894 nucleotides) under uncultured Bacillus sp. RNAcentral describes it as "bacterial SSU rRNA". It matches the Rfam family "Bacterial small subunit ribosomal RNA", at positions 55 to 933 of the family's 1533-position model. Lineage: Bacteria; Bacillati; Bacillota; Bacilli; Caryophanales; Bacillaceae. The record is from RNAcentral.
UAGCAGUCGAGCGGACAGAAGGGAGCUUGCUCCCGGAUGUUAGCGGCGGACGGGUGAGUAACACGUGGGUAACCUGCCUGUAAGACUGGGAUAACUCCGGGAAACCGGAGCUAAUACCGGAUAGUUCCUUGAACCGCAUGGUUCAAGGAUGAAAGACGGUUUCGGCUGUCACUUACAGAUGGACCCGCGGCGCAUUAGCUAGUUGGUGAGGUAACGGCUCACCAAGGCGACGAUGCGUAGCCGACCUGAGAGGGUGAUCGGCCACACUGGGACUGAGACACGGCCCAGACUCCUACGGGAGGCAGCAGUAGGGAAUCUUCCGCAAUGGACGAAAGUCUGACGGAGCAACGCCGCGUGAGUGAUGAAGGUUUUCGGAUCGUAAAGCUCUGUUGUUAGGGAAGAACAAGUGCAAGAGUAACUGCUUGCACCUUGACGGUACCUAACCAGAAAGCCACGGCUAACUACGUGCCAGCAGCCGCGGUAAUACGUAGGUGGCAAGCGUUGUCCGGAAUUAUUGGGCGUAAAGGGCUCGCAGGCGGUUUCUUAAGUCUGAUGUGAAAGCCCCCGGCUCAACCGGGGAGGGUCAUUGGAAACUGGGAAACUUGAGUGCAGAAGAGGAGAGUGGAAUUCCACGUGUAGCGGUGAAAUGCGUAGAGAUGUGGAGGAACACCAGUGGCGAAGGCGACUCUCUGGUCUGUAACUGACGCUGAGGAGCGAAAGCGUGGGGAGCGAACAGGAUUAGAUACCCUGGUAGUCCACGCCGUAAACGAUGAGUGCUAAGUGUUAGGGGUUUCCGCCCCUUAGUGCUGCAGCUAACGCAUUAAGCACUCCGCCUGGGGAGUACGGUCGCAAGACUGAAACUCAAAGGAAUUGACUGGGGCCCGCACAAGCAGU